This 253-nucleotide ribosomal RNA is filed under the name uncultured bacterium. Its description in RNAcentral is "partial 16S ribosomal RNA". It matches the Rfam family "Bacterial small subunit ribosomal RNA", at positions 524 to 776 of the family's 1533-position model. The record is from RNAcentral.
UACAGAGACUGCAAGCGUUAUUCGGAUUCACUGGGCGUAAAGGGUGCGCAGGCGGCCAUGUGUGUUAGGCGUGAAAGCCCGGGGCUCAACCCCGGAAUUGCACCUAAAACUACGUGGCUAGAGUACUGGAGAGGGUAGCGGAAUUCACGGUGUAGCAGUGAAAUGCGUAGAUAUCGUGAGGAACACCAAUGGCGAAGGCAGCUACCUGGACAGUAACUGACGCUCAGGCACGAAAGCGUGGGGAGCAAAAGGG